UGGAGCGAAACUCAAAAAAUAAGUCUCAGUUCGGAUUGAAGGCUGAAAUUCGCCUUCAUGAAGCUGGAAUUGCUAGUAAUGGCAGGUCAGCAUACUGCCGUGAAUACGUUCCCGGGCCUUGUACACACCGCCCGUCACACCAUGAGAGUUGGGAAUACCCGAAGCCUGUGAGCUAACAUUUAUGAGGCAGCAGUCGAAGGUAGAAUCAAUGAUUGGGGUGAAGUCGUAACAAGGUAAC
Molecule: ribosomal RNA, 238 nt
Filed under: uncultured bacterium
Lineage: Bacteria
Description: partial 16S ribosomal RNA
Rfam family: Bacterial small subunit ribosomal RNA
Source: RNAcentral